UAAGAGUGUAGCAGCCAUCCAUGCAACUGUCUUCAGCUGUCUUCGUAGGCGUGAAGUUGGGGAACACUUAUAUGAUCCUGCUAGAAAUAUUGCAACAGUUGUAUAUGAGGAAUAUAGAAAUCAAUGUGCAGCUAAUUCUUUGAGUUCAAAAGGAAUGUUUCAAUUGAUUCGGAGAAAAGAUUCUUCAAGGAAUCUGAUGGCUCUUGUUAAUAAUGAUGGGUCCGUGGCAAAGGCUUGGCCUGUUGAUAGUAACGGAAAGCCUACAUUUGGCAACGGAUUGGGUAAUGGAAUUGGAUGUCCAAUGUAUGGCCCCUUACAGAUUGGUAAGUCAGAACCUGUAAAUCUCCAGUUCGGUUAUUAUGGGAUCAGUGCUUGGCCCAGUGAUGGUGGCACUAGCCGUGCUGGAAGUGUUGACGAGUCUAGAGCUGAUUGGACUGAUACUGGUAGUAGAUAUCUAUCCUCUUGCUGUAGCUCACCAAGACUAUCAGAUGGCCCUGCGAAGGAGGUAAGCCUAAUCAUUUUUUGUUACUUAUUUCUUUUCAACAUGAAAAUUAAUGGCUUGUUAAUGUCAUUGAUGAUUUCUUUUAAGCUCAGUGCCUGGCAGUGAUGAAGAGAUGGGUAAAAAAUAUGAAAACUUCUGUCAUUUGCUGAUUUAUUUAUUUUUUGGGGGUAUGUUUUAAAGGUCAAGGAAGAUGUCUCAGUCCAUGGUAGUGAUGAAGAGCUUGAUGACCCUUUAGAAGAGUUGGGCAGUGAUGAGGAUUUCAGUGACGAUGAUGACAAACAUGUCCAUGAUGAGGUAAACUUAGUGAUGAAAUUUGCCAUGGGAAAAAGUUCAUUUUGGGUCAUUUUAAACAUUUUUCAUUGCUUUACAGGUAGGGUCAGUUGAUGAGGAAUCUACCAAGUCUGAUGAAGAAUACGAUGAUCUUGCAAUGGAAGAUGUGCAGGAAAAUGGGUAUUGGUCAGAUGAAGAGUUUAAGAGUAAGCUUUCUGCAGUUGCUGAGGAACUACGAUCUAAAAUGCAUGACAAUAUGUAUAGUCAGAACCUUGAUCGAUUCCUUAGAAGCAGAAGCGAGCCAAUGGCAGCACUGGUGCAAGAAACCCAGUUCUGUUAUUCUCCUAUGAUUGUGGAAAAGAGUGAAAGGAAACUUCCACCAGCUGAUAAAUACAAGUUAAGAAAACGCUCUCUUAGCAUUCCUGCCUUGGGAAGGCAUAGUUCAGCAAUCAAUGAUCCCAUUCUUUCUGGUGCACCUCAAAGAUAGCACACUGUGCUUUAAUCUUGAGUCUUAAACAACCAACCCUUUUUUCAUUUUUUAGCCAAUGUGAAUACUAAAGCUUCCAAAAUUUUCAUCCUUUUUUACUAUAGUUGCUUCAUGGUUCUAAGAUGGAAACGUUCAAAUAUGUCGGAUCAGUUAAUGUUCUGUGACAUUUUCUAAUGAUGUACAUAGGAUGGAAUUGGCAGAAUCGGAUUUGUAUGCUGCAAGAUCCUGUACUCUUGUUCCUUGUUAUGGUUUUGUCUUGGAAAUGUGAGUUCUUUUUUUUCAUUUCAUUUAUGUUGUUUUAUACUCUACAUAGGGAUGAUGUUAGGGGUUGGUGCAGUUGGGUUUUUGUAUUCCAAGUUUUGGUCCAUUUUCUGGCUACGGAAUUGGUUUCUUACAUGGAUAUAGCAAGUCCUGCAGAAUCUUUCUUAAUAUCCUCUAAUAAAUCUUACUCUGAAUCUAUUUUUUGAGUAUCAAAUCAAGAUUCAAUUCUUUUUUCUAAACAAGGUAAUAUUAGUUAUCCAUUGAUUUGGCAGACGCAUGAUGUGUGAAUUCUACCUCACACGUUCAUAUAUUUGGUUCUUCAUUGAGUUUUUAUUUGCUUAUAGCAACUCACUCAAUCUUUUUAUAUUGAACUAUAGGUUUUUAAAUACGACCAUGCAUGUAUUCAUAAUAAUGAACAUAUAUGUUUAAAAACGAAGCUUACUACGUAAGUGAAUCCUAAUAUAGAAUGAAUUUAUGCGGAUGGAGAAAAAAGUUAAGAGUAUAAAAAAUGGGUAUUGUGGUCCACAGGCUUAACCAUUUUUGCUUAAGAAUAAUACUACACUGAUGUCUAAGAGAAAAUUCCAAUCUCAUUAGAUCAAAGUCAUCUACCACUUCAAGCCUUUGAUAAUCCUGGCCUGAACCCUUCUCUUCAAAGGACAAAGCAUCUUCUUUCACUUUCAAAAAAUCCAACCACCAUAUAUUAAGCAUCUUGAACAACAUUAUGGAACCCUUAAUGUGUACCUUUUAGAAUUAGAUGAGUGAAGUAUCUUUUAUUAAAACAUUAAGGGCUGGUAUUCUUUUAUAAAAACAUUAAGGGCUCAUUUGAUGGUUGGUAUACGAUAAAAACAUGAUAGGAUAAAGAGUUUGACAUAAUAAUAUGAACAAUGAUGAUAAUGAUAGUAGUGUUCGAGGCGUGAGGGUACGAAGGGAAACUAUAUUAUCUUAUCAUGCUAUUGCUCUACACAAAUGUUGCACAAUAAUUUUGUCAUUGUGAAACUUAGCCCUUCAUUACUAUUUUAACAAGAGAAAAUAAGUAUACGUUGAUGGUGUAUGAGUUUUAUAUACUGUCAUUGUAUUAUUCAUCAUUUAUAUUUAAUAAACUAGUACCGAUGUAAAGAGUGUACCUUUUAACUGAUGUGUUUAUCCAUCCAGCAAACUAGGACUGUCUCAUUUAACUUUGUUGUAACAAAAAAGUGAGUGCCAGUAAGAGAUUAAGCUGGAACCUGGAAGCAUAUCCAUAAUUGAACAUUGACUUAAUAAAAAAAGAACUAACCAAAAUGGAAAGAAUCACAAAGGCACUAAAAACAAUGGAUUAUGUUCAAUAAUUUGCAGUACAACAUCACAUUGAUACAAUACUAGAGUUAUAAGUUUGAGUUGAAAUUACACGAACUACUUAGAGAAAUGGCACCAUCAUCAAAUCAUACAAUAAUAAUAAUCUACCUUUAACAAGUGAGAUAGCUAGAAAUGUUGUGACAAUGAAUUGGCAGAUGAACCACCAAAUAUAAAAGCCACACUUGAUAUAUAUGAAGUAGUUAUCCAUAAAUAAAAAAUACCCUUUCACCCCACACCAGAAUUAACUACCAGAUUUAUGAAGAUUCAGUUACCAUAUCAAUCAGCAACUAUAACAAAGAUACAUUGAUGAUUCACUCACAUGAAACUAACUAUUUCAUUGCUCUUUAUUCAUGAAAACAAUAAUAAUAAGAAAAUAUAUUACUCUGAGAGAAGCAGGGAAGUGAUGUAGGGUGGUUCUGCACAACAACAUCAUUCAGAUAACUGUGUCUUGUUCUGUCCACUCUCUCUGUCCCAUUAUCCCUUCACUGUUUGGUUUUCAAGUUAGAAAUUUAUUAUUGUUUGUGGCAAAAUAUAAUGAGUUAUA
Molecule: long non-coding RNA, 3396 nt
Filed under: Lupinus angustifolius (narrow-leaved blue lupine)
Lineage: Eukaryota; Viridiplantae; Streptophyta; Magnoliopsida; Fabales; Fabaceae
Description: long non-coding RNA (LANG_LNC002064)
Source: RNAcentral